CUACGGGGCGCUCCAGUGGGGAAUAUUGGGCAAUGGGCGCAAGACUGAUCCAGCAACGCCGCGUGAGGGAAGAAGGUUUCCGGAUUGUAAACCUCGGGCCGGGGGGAAGAAGAAGUGACGGUACCCAAGGAGGAAGCUCCGGCUAACUACGUGCCAGCAGCCGCGGUAAUACGUAGGGAGCAAGCGUUGUCCGGAAUUACUGGGCGUAAAGGGUGCGUAGGCGGCAUAUUAAGUCAGGUGUGAAAUACUCGGGCUCAACCCGGGGGCUGCAUUUGAAACUGAUAUGCUUGAGUGUGAGAGAGGAAAGUGGAAUUCCUAGUGUAGCGGUGGAAUGCGUAAAUAUUAGGAGGAACACCAGUGGCGAAGGCGACUUUCUGGCUCAUAACUGACGCUGAGGCACGAAAGCGUGGGGAGCAAACAGGAUUAGAUACCCGGGUAGUC
This 441-nucleotide ribosomal RNA is filed under the name uncultured bacterium. Its description in RNAcentral is "partial 16S ribosomal RNA". It matches the Rfam family "Bacterial small subunit ribosomal RNA", at positions 339 to 795 of the family's 1533-position model. The record is from RNAcentral.